RNAcentral lists this non-coding RNA (172 nucleotides) under Osedax symbiont Rs1. The record is from RNAcentral. Lineage: Bacteria; Pseudomonadati; Pseudomonadota; Gammaproteobacteria; Oceanospirillales; Oceanospirillaceae.
GAUUUCAGCAUGCUGAAAGGUACUAGAAGGUUAAAUGGGAAGUGAGACUAUCGAUUUUUCGAUGUUGCCUUCGCUGCCCCCGCAACGGUAUGGUUCGCCUAGUAAUAAGAUCAACCAUUACAUUAGGUAUUUAGAACACGAGCCCGGAACCAGCCACAGCCUGUAUUUUGUA